GACGAACGCUGGCGGCGUGCUUAAUACAUGCAAGUCGACUGAAGCAGUGGUAACAAUAUCGCUGUGGCGGUGGCGCACGGGGGAGUAACAAGUAGGUAAUCUGCCUUCUGGUCUGGCAUAACUCCGGGAAACCGGGGCUAAUAGCAGCUGAUGCAGCAGCUCGACAUCGGGACCGUUGGUAAAACUAUGGCGCCUGGAGAUGAGCCAGGGUCUGCUUAGCUCAUUGGCGGGGUAACGGCCCACCAAGGCAACGAUCAGUAGCUGGUCAGAGAGGAUGAUCAGCCACACUGGAACUGAGACACGGUCCAGACUCCUACGGGGGGCAGCAGUAAGGAAUAUUGCUCAAUGGGAGAAAUCAUGAAGCAGCAACGCCGCGUGAGGGACGAAGGGCUUUUGCUUGUAAACCUCUGUAGUGAGAGAAAAAAAUCCCAAUCUUUGGGACAUGAUGGUAUCUCAAAAGUAAGCCCCGGCUAACUACGUG
RNAcentral lists this ribosomal RNA (481 nucleotides) under uncultured bacterium. RNAcentral describes it as "partial 16S ribosomal RNA". It matches the Rfam family "Bacterial small subunit ribosomal RNA", at positions 28 to 507 of the family's 1533-position model. The record is from RNAcentral.